CUCCCCAUCACCAUGGGCCACAUGUCAGCAUCUGGGCUAACCUGGACAACACAAUUCCCUCAGUACACCAAGCAUGAGGCUAUCCAUAAGAAACCCAUCAAACAGUGGCGCUGGCAGCUGCUGGAGGUGCAGAAGACAAAGGCUGUGCAGUCUAUGCCCUCGGGAGCCCAAACCAAACAUCUGACCUGAGUUUCUCAGGACCAGGGGGAAGCAGAGCCAUGAGAUUGAAAAAGAGGGGCAAUUCUUCUACAUGCUCUCAUCUGUGUGAGUAUGGCUAAAUUUCUGUUCAUGUAC
This 294-nucleotide long non-coding RNA is filed under the name Taeniopygia guttata (zebra finch). RNAcentral describes it as "lncRNA (ENSTGUG00000024290.1)". The record is from RNAcentral. Lineage: Eukaryota; Metazoa; Chordata; Aves; Passeriformes; Estrildidae.